AACGAACGCUGGCGGCAUGCCUAACACAUGCAAGUCGAACGAGACCUUCGGGUCUAGUGGCGCACGGGUGCGUAACGCGUGGGAACCUGCCCUUAGGUUCGGAAUAACUCCCCGAAAGGGGUGCUAAUACCGGAUAAUGUCUUCGGACCAAGGAUUUAUCGCCUUUGGAUGGGCCCGCGUUGGAUUAGCUAGUUGGUAGGGUAAAAGCCUACCAAGGCGACGAUCCAUAGCUGGUCUGAGAGGAUGAUCAGCCACACUGGGACUGAGACACGGCCCAGACUCCUACGGGAGGCAGCAGUGGGGAAUAUUGGACAAUGGGCGAAAGCCUGAUCCAGCAAUGCCGCGUGAGUGAUGAAGGCCUUAGGGUUGUAAAGCUCUUUUACCCGGGAUGAUAAUGACAGUACCGGGAGAAUAAGCUCCGGCUAACCCCGUG
This 433-nucleotide ribosomal RNA is filed under the name uncultured bacterium. Its description in RNAcentral is "partial 16S ribosomal RNA". It matches the Rfam family "Bacterial small subunit ribosomal RNA", at positions 29 to 507 of the family's 1533-position model. The record is from RNAcentral.